GCUAUUUUGGCAGAGUAAAUGUAUUGGUUUUAGAAGUCAAUUUAUAUAUAAAUUAAUUUAUAUAGAUAGUA
Molecule: transfer RNA, 71 nt
Filed under: Bombyx mori (domestic silkworm)
Lineage: Eukaryota; Metazoa; Arthropoda; Insecta; Lepidoptera; Bombycidae
Description: tRNA-Leu
Source: RNAcentral